AUGAUCCGCGCCAACCACUUCCUCGUCAACGUCGCCGACAACAACCUCUUCCACUACGAUGUUUCCAUCAACCCGGAGUCAAAAUCAAGAGCUGUGAACAGGGAGGUACUCAGUGAGCUAAUCAAGUUGCACGGGAAGACAUCCCUUGGCGGCAAAUUGCCUGCCUAUGAUGGAAGAAAGAGUCUCUACACUGCAGGCUCACUCCCUUUUGAGUCUGAGGAGUUCUCUGUUACACUGGUUGAUCCCGAAAAGAAAGACAAAGAAAAGGCUGAAAGGGAGUACAAGAUCACCAUUAGGAUUGCUGGGAGGACAGACCUGUACCACCUCCAGCAGUUCCUCAAAGGAAGACAGAGGGAUAUGCCUCAAGAAACCAUCCAAGUUCUUGAUGUUGUCCUCAGGGAGUCACCAUCCUGGAACUAUGUCACAGUGUCCAGAUCCUUCUUCUCCACCACCUUUGGUCACAGAGGAGACAUUGGUGAAGGAUUAGAGUGCUGGAGAGGUUACUACCAGAGCUUACGUCCAACCCAGAUGGGGCUGUCACUCAAUAUAGAUAUAUCUGCAACAUCCUUCUUCAAGCCUGUGACAGUGGUCCAGUUUGUGCUAGAGUUCCUCAACUUACGUGAUGCCUCGCGGCCUCUGACAGACAGGGACCGUGUUAAGAUAAAGAAAGCACUCCGUGGGGUGCGUGUCGAAACAAACCACCAGGAAGACCAAAUCAGAAGAUACAAGAUAACAGGGAUUACUCCUGUUCCCAUGAGCCAGCUCAUAUUUCCUGUUGAUGAGAGAGGAACAAGAAUGUCAGUUGUUCAGUACUUCAUGCAAAGAUACAAAUACAACCUGCAGUAUACUUCUUGGCCCUGCUUGCAGUCUGGAAGUGAUGCUCGGCCUGUGUAUCUGCCUAUGGAGGCGUGCAAGAUUGUUGAAGGGCAAAGGUACUCUAAGAAACUGAAUGACAAGCAGGUCACCAACAUACUUAGAGCUACCUGUCAACGUCCCCAGCAGAGGGAGCAAAGCAUUCGUGAGAUGGUUCUGCACAACAAGUAUGCUGAGGACAAGUUUGCUCAGGAGUUCGGUAUCAACGUCUGCAGUGACCUGGUCUCUGUUCCAGCCCGUGUGCUGCCUCCCCCCAUGUUGAGAUAUCAUGAUUCUGGAAAGGAGAAAACUUGUGCGCCAAGUGUUGGACAGUGGAGCAUGAUUAACAAGAAAAUGAUCAAUGGAGGAAUCAUAGACAACUGGUCCUGUGUGAGUUUUUCACGCAUACCUCCUGAGGAGGUACACAGGUUCUGUUGUGAUCUGAUUCAGAUGUGCAAUAUGACUGGAAUGUCUGUCAAUCCAAGGCCACUUGUAGACAACCGAUCAGCUAACCCCAACCACAUCGAGAAUGCCUUGAGGGAUGUCUACAGGAGGACUACCGAAAUGCUUGGAAAACAGGGACACGAAAAACAGCUACAACUGUUAAUCGUAAUCCUACCUGAAGUCAGUGGUUCUUAUGGGAAAAUCAAGAAGGUUUGCGAGACCGACCUUGGGAUCGUGUCUCAGUGUUGCCUGCCAAGGCAUGCUGCCAGACCGAACAAGCAAUAUCUGGAGAAUGUUGCACUCAAAAUCAAUGUGAAGGUCGGAGGACGCAACACAGUUCUGGAGAGAGCUUUUGUGCGAAAUGGCAUACCGUUUGUGUCCGAAGUCCCAACAAUCAUCUUUGGUGCUGAUGUUACACACCCCCCACCUGGAGAGGACUCUGCAUCAUCUAUUGCUGCGGUGGUGGCAUCAAUGGACUGGCCAGAGAUCACCAAGUACAGAGGUCUUGUCUCUGCUCAACCACACAGGCAGGAGAUAAUCGAAGAUCUCUUCAGUGUCACCAAAGAUCCGAAGAGGGGUAAUGUCAAUGGUGGCAUGAUCAGGGAGUUACUGAUUGCAUUCCGCAGGAAGACAGGCCGGAGGCCUGAGAGGAUACUCUUCUACAGGGAUGGCGUAAGUGAAGGCCAAUUCAGCCAUGUUCUGCUUCAUGAAAUGGACGCAAUCAGGAAGGCCUGCGCCUCAUUGGAGGAGGGGUAUAUGCCCCCAGUCACCUUUGUGGUUGUCCAGAAAAGGGAUCACACCAGGCUGUUCCCUGAUGUUCAUGGGAGGCGUGAUAUGACUGACAAGAGUGGGAACAUACUUCCUGGAAGUGUGUUUGAACUCAUGACCUGCCACCCAACAGACUUUGGCUUUUACCUGUGCAACAAUACCAACAUACAGGGAACAAGUUGUAAUUACCAUGUUCUUUAUGAUGAGAACAAUUUCACGGCUGAUGCGCUUCAAUCCCUGACGAAGAAGCUCUGUAAUACCUAUGCUCGGUGCGUUCCAGGACUCUCCACAGUGGCACCGGCUUUUUAUGCUCAUGUAAAAGCUAGAGUCUGUACUCGCCACUACAUGGAAGGGGACGGCUCAACUGGGGAACUAAAUAUUAAACUUCUUGGUGGUGGUGACAAUCCGGAUACUGGAAGGUCUCGUAAAAGGCCUCGUGAGGAAGAAUCGGGUUCUUCAUCUCAAUCGGCCGAUCACCCAACUUUGGGAGGCAACAGAAUAUCCAACAUAAGUACAUUCCUUCCAAAGGGGAAGAAUUUACCAUACUUUGAAGGCUUUCUUACAUUUAUCGAGAAGAGCAAAUUUAGAAAUCAUCCAGAACUGCUACCGUACAAGCGGCGCCCCUUGGUUUUUAUGUCCCCACUAGAAAGACUGCUGCUUUGGAUAAUCUUUUGA
RNAcentral lists this ribosomal RNA (2739 nucleotides) under Triticum aestivum (bread wheat). RNAcentral describes it as "partial small subunit ribosomal RNA". Lineage: Eukaryota; Viridiplantae; Streptophyta; Magnoliopsida; Poales; Poaceae. The record is from RNAcentral.